Molecule: ribosomal RNA, 212 nt
Filed under: uncultured bacterium
Lineage: Bacteria
Description: partial 16S ribosomal RNA
Rfam family: Bacterial small subunit ribosomal RNA
Source: RNAcentral
AAUCAACGCUGGCGGCGUGCCUCAGACAUGCAAGUCGAACGAUUAAAGCUCUCUUCGGAGAGUGCAUAGAGUGGCGCACGGGUGAGUAACACGUAAGUAAUCUACCUUCGAGUGGGGAAGUAACAUCGGGAACCGGAUGCUAAUACCGCAUAAUGCAGCGGCAUCGCAAGAUGACAGUUGUUAAAGGAGCAAUUCGCUUGAAGAGGAGCUUG